RNAcentral lists this long non-coding RNA (1042 nucleotides) under Homo sapiens (human). Its description in RNAcentral is "HSALNT0022240". Lineage: Eukaryota; Metazoa; Chordata; Mammalia; Primates; Hominidae. The record is from RNAcentral.
UGGAAAGGUAGCAGGAAGGAACAGUGUCACCCAGUACAAAUGUCAAACACUGGAUCCUGGUGUAAUUAAAGCUGGGCCCUCAGAGAUGUGGCAGAGGCUUACAAUGGUGCCACCACCCUGUACAUUACUCACCUGGUGCCUGUCAGGUGACACCUCAGCGUGAACAGGAAUAUCGCCUGACACCAUAGAAACACUGUCCUCUGAUUCAGGACUCACCAAUGGGGAAGUUAAAAAUUAACCAUGGCAUUUAUGCUACCCCUACGCACACCUUCAGACUUCAGAAAUGUCUCCUGGCAGAGGCCUCUUUGGCCUGAUGGUACUGUACCCUUCAUAGAGUUAUUAUUUUAUGGUUUUAUUUUUUCAUAGCAAACAGCAACACUAUUUCUGAACUGUGGCUGUUUCUACAGAAAGGCUGAGUAGUAGGGCCAAGGCUAUCUUUUGCCCAGUGUCCUGGGACUCUGGGGUAUUGUGAUAGCCCCAGAAAGUGAGCAGCCCUUCAGUGACUGGACUUCUAGAAUCUGCCUCGCCUGCCCUCCAGCUUCCCUGAGCCCCUUCUGACCAGGGUUAUGUUUACUUCCUCACAGCCACUUUUACUUCUAGGUCUUCAGGAGGCUCCAAGACCAGCAGGCAUAUAAGCAAAACGGAACAUAGACACUGGAAGCAACUUUCCUGUGUUAGUAAGCCAGCAGCAUCCUCACACCAUGCGACUUUACAACAACUGCUGCCCUAUCCUCAGAGCCUCUGCCCGGCAUGGACUGGGGCACUCAGAAUGGUAUCCCUUGAUAUAAUGCAUAUACGAUGGCACUGUCUACCACCUCCUCAUGCCUAAACAUUUCUCAGUUUUCAGAUUUAGAGUCUCAAAACUGUUUCCACAGUAUUGAACUCCCAGUUUUCUAAACCCCAACACGUUUCUUUCUUGAUCACGGAUCGUCUUUUCGGAUGACAGCAUCCUGGCUUGAAUCCAGAGCAAAAAACCAUUGAAGUCAAAUUAAAACAUAAUUUUAUGAUGACAAAUUUAUUAAAGUUAAUAAUUCAACUCACU